AUUGAACGCUGGCGGCAUGCCUUACACAUGCAAGUCGAACGGCAGCACGGGUGCUUGCACCUGGUGGCGAGUGGCGAACGGGUGAGUAAUACAUCGGAACAUGUCCUGUAGUGGGGGAUAGCCCGGCGAAAGCCGGAUUAAUACCGCAUACGAUCUACGGCUGAAAGCGGGGGACCUUCGGGCCUCGCGCUAUCGGGUUGGCCGAUGGCUGAUUAGCUAGUUGGUGGGGUAAAGGCCUACCAAGGCGACGGUCAGUAGCUGGUCUGAGAGGACGACCAGCCACACUGGGACUGAGACACGGCCCAGACUCCUACGGGAGGCAGCAGUGGGGAAUUUUGGACAAUGGGCGAAAGCCUGAUCCAGCAAUGCCGCGUGUGUGAAGAAGGCCUUCGGGUUGUAAAGCACUUUUGUCCGGAAAGAAAUCCUUGGCCCUAAUACGGUCGGGGGAUGACGGUACCGGAAGAAUAAGCACCGGCUAACUACGUG
RNAcentral lists this ribosomal RNA (486 nucleotides) under uncultured bacterium. Its description in RNAcentral is "partial 16S ribosomal RNA". It matches the Rfam family "Bacterial small subunit ribosomal RNA", at positions 30 to 507 of the family's 1533-position model. The record is from RNAcentral.